AAAGCGGCGAAAGGGUGAGGAAAAUAUCGACAAUGUACCCCGAGGACCGGGACAACGGCUGGAAACGGCCGCUAAUACCGGAUGGUCCCUCGGCAAGGCAUCUUGCCAAGGGUAAAGGUGGGGACCUUCGGGCCUUCCACCUCGGGAGGAGUCGAUGUCCUAUCAGCUAGUUGGCGGGGUAAUGGCCCACCAAGGCAACUACGGGUAGCCGGACUGAGAGGUUGACCGGUCACACUGGGACUGAGACACUGCCCAG
RNAcentral lists this ribosomal RNA (256 nucleotides) under uncultured bacterium. RNAcentral describes it as "partial 16S ribosomal RNA". It matches the Rfam family "Bacterial small subunit ribosomal RNA", at positions 92 to 334 of the family's 1533-position model. The record is from RNAcentral.